Long non-coding RNA from Helianthus annuus (common sunflower), 707 nucleotides. RefSeq lists it as uncharacterized. The record is from RefSeq and is a predicted model, not a curated record. NCBI's taxonomy places the organism in Eukaryota, Viridiplantae, Streptophyta, Magnoliopsida, Asterales, Asteraceae. The transcript has 3 exons.
GUUGAACCAGAUUUCACACCCAAGACCAAUAGCUUCAAGCCGAGCAUGAUUUCACACCCAUUCAGACCAAUAGCUUCAAGCCUUAAGAACAUGAUUUGAAGUUUGCACAUGAGUCCUCAGUGAAGAGACCACCAUCACCGCCACCACCACCACCGUCGUAAGCACCGCCACCGCCCUAGCACCGUCACCGCCGUAAGCACCUCCACCGUCUAAGAGAUUAAUUACCCCAUCCCUUCCCCAACUCCGGUCAGCCUCUCUCCGGUCGUCUUCUCCGACCACUUUUUUUGAUGGAGCUUGGACAUCUUCGGCUGUGGGGGUGGUUAUAGAUCCGGUGGUGGGGGUGGUUGUAGAUUGACCGGUGGUGGGGGUCGGAUUGAGCGGUUGCAUCUUCUCCUCAUCGGACGUCGUUUUAUCAAAUCUCGACACAACUUUGAAGGCAUUGCAAUCGGUGUUGUACACUGACACAUGUGGUCGCGGUUGGUGCUAUAAUCGCAACGACCAUGUUGGUCAAGCGGGCAAAGACAAAGGUGGUGGUUACAAUCGGAGAAGAUGAUAUUCGUGUACCUAUAUGAUUUGAGAUCGUUAUAUACAUAUGUGUACAGGAACAUAUACAUAUAUGUACAUUGCUUGAUUUUAGUUGUUUUUUAGAGCUCGUUAUAUGUGUACAGGAACAUAUACGUAUGUGUACAUUGCUUGAUUUUAGUUGU